GACUCUAAUGCAUCUAAGCUGGUAGGAAUUUUAAAUCCAGGCAGGUGCAGCUCCGAGGCACAGAAAAAUGCGGUAGGUCGUGCACGCUGCCAAGAAGCAGGGAUUUCACUUAGGGUUCAGGAUCUGCGCCCAGAAAGAACUGAAAAGUGAAGCCCUCUUCAUGCCUGUGACGUCUGUGACUCGAGACCACCUUUCCCUCCUGUCCAAGAGAAACGUGAGGAUGUUUUCCACAAGGCAGGAAGGAGGCAGCAGAGAGGCUCAAAUGGCCCAGUGAAAACACGACUUUUAAUUAAAAAGAAAUGUUCCCGCCACUGCCUCCACCAGUGCUGCAAACGUCCUUGCGACGAGGGCUCAUUGUGCACAAGAGAAUUAAAAUAUCCGCUUUAAGAGAAGGAAAAUCAUCUUCUGAUCAAAACACCUGUAUUUGAGUUGGGUAAAAAUUCAAGAUCAGUGCAUCUAAAGGACACAUUCAGGUUAAAGAAUUAAAGGAGACAAAGACUUUCUGAGUUACGUUGCAGAAGAUGAGACGGCAAAGGAGAUAAAGAAGAAAUGUCAGAGAAGUGGGAGGAAAACCCCGUGUCUAGGAAGCCAGGAGGAACUCACAUCUCACAUCCCUGCUGCUUUUUCCUCCUCAGAAUUUCUUAAGCUAGCAUCAGUGACUUAACCAUCAGCCAUGAUAAAACUAUGCAUCAUGUUAACCUGAAUGGCUGAUCCAAGAAGAAAGGAGAUGAUUCCAUAAGAGAGAAAAGAUAAGAUUCCUG
Molecule: long non-coding RNA, 761 nt
Filed under: Equus caballus (horse)
Lineage: Eukaryota; Metazoa; Chordata; Mammalia; Perissodactyla; Equidae
Description: lncRNA (ENSECAG00000049944.1)
Source: RNAcentral